UAAUAACAAAAACAGUGAUGAGAACAUUUAUAGUAAAUACAUAUUGGUGGCGCUUCUUACAACUCGAAAGGUCGUAGGGAAAGCAGUCCUGUGUGUAUAUAAUAAAUGAAAAUAUAGUAAAAGGUCUGUC
Molecule: non-coding RNA, 130 nt
Filed under: uncultured Parabacteroides sp.
Lineage: Bacteria; Pseudomonadati; Bacteroidota; Bacteroidia; Bacteroidales; Tannerellaceae
Description: Bacteroidete tryptophan peptide leader RNA
Rfam family: Bacteroidete tryptophan peptide leader RNA
Source: RNAcentral